Molecule: non-coding RNA, 26 nt
Filed under: Mus musculus (house mouse)
Lineage: Eukaryota; Metazoa; Chordata; Mammalia; Rodentia; Muridae
Also listed under: 1 other name
Source: RNAcentral
UUUUUUCUGCAGUGGAUAUUAUUGUC